This 253-nucleotide ribosomal RNA is filed under the name uncultured bacterium. Its description in RNAcentral is "partial 16S ribosomal RNA". It matches the Rfam family "Bacterial small subunit ribosomal RNA", at positions 524 to 776 of the family's 1533-position model. The record is from RNAcentral.
UACGUAGGGCGCAAGCGUUGUCCGGAAUUAUUGGGCGUAAAGGGCUCGUAGGCGGUUUGUCGCGUCGGGAGUGAAAACCAUGGGCUUAACUCAUGGCUUGCUUCCGAUACGGGCAGACUAGAGGCAUGCAGGGGAGAACGGAAUUCCUGGUGUAGCGGUGAAAUGCGCAGAUAUCAGGAGGAACACCGGUGGCGAAGGCGGUUCUCUGGGCAUGUCCUGACGCUGAGGAGCGAAAGUGUGGGGAGCGAACAGG